GCCCUCGGAGAAGCACCGUGGCCGCUACUGCUCCGCGUCGCCGCUCCUCACCCACCCACCGCGACCGCCUCCUCUCCCGGAACCCUAGCCAGCCGCACGCAACCCAUGGCGUCGCCCAGCUCGCCGCCCUCGGCCAUCACGUCGUCGCGGGGCUCCUCGCGCAGCACGGCCUCCGCCAAGGCCGCACCCGAGGCCGACCAGGAGGCCACGGUCUCCAAACGCUCCCGCAAGAGCAGCACGUCCGGGAAGAAGAACUCGGCGCCCAAGGCGGUGGCGGGAAAGAAGCCGAAGAAUUGGUGAGAGACUCCCUGGUUCACCACUGCUAGAUGUACAAGCAGCAGAAGCAAACCUCCCCUCCGCUCAUUGCUGCUGGUACAGACUCGAGUUGUCGAUGUAGAUCGAUCUAGUGCCCCCUCCUCAGUUUUUUUGUUUGGUGGUACGUGGAUCUGCUCGUGCACUGGUGAGCCACCCGUUCUACUCCACCUUUUCCUCUGAUAUUCAGUGCAAUUCAUGCAUUGCUUUGUGCUCAGUUGAUGUGGAAUGUGCUUAAUGUUUCCCAGUAGAAAGCUCAGUAUGGCCAUGUGUUGUUCAGCACUGGCUCAUGAUAAUGUUCCUGUUUAGGAACAAAUUUAUCACUCAUUGUUUUUCCAGAGUGAGUUAUAAUCAAUAAUAAUUGUUCCUUUUAUGAGUGAGCUUAUUGUUCUUUUUUUAUUUGCAUAAUGGGGAGCUAAUAAACCCGGGGUCCCGGCAGAUAUACCUCAUCUUCACGGCGGACGGCACCUUCCGCGAGGAGGACAACUCCAACUAUUUCAGCGCAUUAUCUACAGUCCUGUCCACGACGUGCACAUCCCCUACCAGCAGAACGACAUGUUCGGGUUCGUCACCUUCGUCUACAAGAAGAAGGGCAAGGUCCCCGGCAAGUUCAGGCAAGCCCACGGUGAUCUUUGCCUCUUACUUCCGGCAGCAGUAACUA
Molecule: long non-coding RNA, 973 nt
Organism: Aegilops tauschii subsp. strangulata
Lineage: Eukaryota; Viridiplantae; Streptophyta; Magnoliopsida; Poales; Poaceae
Source: RefSeq, a predicted model, not a curated record